This 934-nucleotide long non-coding RNA is filed under the name Triticum aestivum (bread wheat). RNAcentral describes it as "long non-coding RNA (TAES_LNC017392)". The record is from RNAcentral. Lineage: Eukaryota; Viridiplantae; Streptophyta; Magnoliopsida; Poales; Poaceae.
UAUAUGAUCACCAUCAUGGCGAAUACUGGCAUCCAUCGACUAGACUAGAAAAACAACAGUAGCUGCCCAGAAGAAGAGGAAUUGCAAGAACCAAUUCACGAUGGCACGUCCAAGGAACAACACAAAUAUUUUGUUCUUGGUUGUAGCUCUUCUGUUCAUGUCUACCCCCUUCCUGGCCUGUAACGCAGACAGUAAGAACAUACAUUUCUCCUGUACAAUUUUUUUUAAACAAUGCAAAAAAUUUGCUUUUUAUAUUGAUAUAGUAGGAGCAAAGGACAACCCGGCCGAAGCCAACAAUUUGCUUCCAUCAUCUUCUUCUUUAUAGAUCUGUUCUUUCUUUCUCUUGGUACAAAACUGACCGUUCAUCUCUGUUCGUGCCGCUGUGCAGUCGACCCACCCAGCUGGUGCACGCCGGAGGCGGUUUGCCAGGACCCGGUUACGCCGGGAAACAGGGAAACGUGCAAAAGCAUCUGCAAAAGUUUUGGCUACAACCCGGAACAAGCCUACUGCAAUCCCGAUCCCACUCCGAGGUGCUGCUGCAUCUAUUAAGCGCAAGAAAUGAUAAUGCCACUGGAGUGGCAGAUGAUGGAUGACAAAGCUAGCAAAUUCAUUUUUAUGUGUCUAUCUCGUCUCAUGUAAAAAUCGGAACAGAUCAUGGUCCAGUCCUGUCCGUGAAUAAAGAUUAGAAAAGUUUCUUAAAUAGCCGUGUUUGCAGAAUUAAUAAGUCAACAUCUGGUAAACACAAGGGGACGAAAUGUCUUGACUAAAGACGCGAAAUUUACUCUUCGGAAGCGCUAGCGAUCAGACUACUGAUAGCUGGCUUCCCAUCAGACUAGUGCUGCAUUGUCCGAUUGAAAUUGCCUGGAAUGUCUGAUUGGAGAUGUGGGCCUAGGUAGUUUGCAUGUGGUGUACUAUUAAUUAUGAUUUGUUUCCG